GUGAGGAAUAUUGCGCAAUGGAGGCAACUCUGACGCAGCCAUGCCGCGUGCAGGAAGAAGGCGCUACGCGUUGUAAACUGCUUUUAACCGGGAAGAAACCCCAGGACGUGUCCUGGGUUGACGGUACCGGAGGAAUAAGCACCGGCUAACUUCGUGCCAGCAGCCGCGGUAAUACGAAGGGUGCAAGCGUUAUCCGGAUUCAUUGGGUUUAAAGGGUGCGUAGGCGGAGCGUUAAGUCAGUGGUGAAAUCCUGCAGCUUAACUGUAGACUUGCCAUGGAUACUGGCGCUCUUGAGUGCGCUUGAAGUGAGCGGAAUGUGCCGUGUAGCGGUGAAAUGCUUAGAUAUGGCACAGAACACCAAUUGCGAAGGCAGCUCACUAAGGCGAUACUGACGCUGAGGCACGAAAGCGUGGGGAUCGAACAGGAUUAGAAACCCCUAGUAGUCC
This 446-nucleotide ribosomal RNA is filed under the name uncultured bacterium. Its description in RNAcentral is "bacterial SSU rRNA". It matches the Rfam family "Bacterial small subunit ribosomal RNA", at positions 354 to 796 of the family's 1533-position model. The record is from RNAcentral.